GUCUACGGCCAUACCACCCUGAACGCGCCCGAUCUCGUCUGAUCUCGGAAGCUAAGCAGGGUCAGGCCUGGUUAGUACUUGGAUGGGAGAUGACAUUAAGGCAGUACAUC
RNAcentral lists this ribosomal RNA (110 nucleotides) under Neogale vison (American mink). Lineage: Eukaryota; Metazoa; Chordata; Mammalia; Carnivora; Mustelidae. The record is from RNAcentral.